CAGCCGCCACGGUAAUACGGAGGGGGCUAGCGUUGUUCGGAAUUACUGGGCGUAAAGCGCACGCAGGCGGCUUUGUAAGUUAGAGGUGAAAGCCCGGAGCUCAACUCCGGAAUUGCCUUUAAGACUGCAGAGCUAGCAGGUGAGAGAGGUGAGUGGAAUUCCGAGUGUAGAGGUGAAAUUCGUAGAUAUUCGGAAGAACACCAGUGGCGAAGGCGGCUCACUGGCUCAUACUGGACGCUGAGGUGCGAAAGCGUGGGGAGCAAACAGGAUUAGAUACCCCCGUAGUCCCUGUCUCUUAUAC
Molecule: ribosomal RNA, 301 nt
Filed under: uncultured bacterium
Lineage: Bacteria
Description: partial 16S ribosomal RNA
Rfam family: Bacterial small subunit ribosomal RNA
Source: RNAcentral